GACGAACGCUGGCGGCGUGCUUAACACAUGCAAGUCGAACGGAAAGGCCCUGCUUUUGUGGGGUGCUCGAGUGGCGAACGGGUGAGUAACACGUGAGUAACCUGCCCUUGACUUUGGGAUAACUUCAGGAAACUGGGGCUAAUACCGGAUAGGAGCUCCUGCUGCAUGGUGGGGGUUGGAAAGUUUCGGCGGUUGGGGAUGGACUCGCGGCUUAUCAGCUUGUUGGUGGGGUAGUGGCUUACCAAGGCUUUGACGGGUAGCCGGCCUGGGAGGGUGACCGGCCACGUUGGGCCUGGGAUACGGCCCAGACUCCAACGGGACGCGGCAGUGGGGAAUAUUGCACAAUGGGCGGAGGCCUGAUGCGGCAACGCCGCGUCGGGGAUGACGGCCUUCGGGUUGUAUACCGCUUUCGCCUGUGACGAAGCGUGAGUGACGGUAAUGGGUAAAGAAGCACCGGCUAACUACGUG
RNAcentral lists this ribosomal RNA (468 nucleotides) under uncultured bacterium. RNAcentral's name for it is "partial 16S ribosomal RNA". It matches the Rfam family "Bacterial small subunit ribosomal RNA", at positions 28 to 507 of the family's 1533-position model. The record is from RNAcentral.